CUGUGCCUAAGCCUUUGAGGUUUUAUGUUGAUAUGUGGAAGAAGUAUGGUGGAUAAAAAAGGUUUGGUGCAUUGAGGAUUGCGAGUUUAUGCAAGGUUCAGGUAAAAACCGCAAAUCAAGAAGAUAUGAUUUAAAUAGCCUAUUCUAAUAUAAGGAUUAGUAGCUAACACUAUGACGAAGAACCGCAAAUCAAGAAUAUAUGAUAUAAAUAGCCUAUUCUAAUAUAAGGAUUAGUGGCUAACUCUAGGACUUAAACCUGUAACCUAUUAAUCACAUAAAGAUAAUUUUGUUCUCCCUCUCUAAAGAAGUAUGUUGGACGAUAAGUCUAAAUUCUUUUGCAAGGCAUAUUGUUUUUGUUUGAUUUACUAUUAGGAAAUUAAAAACGAGAAAAGCAAAAACCAUAAAAUCGAUUCUUUUGGUUUGGUUUAUAUAUUUAGCAAACCGACAUGGUUAGUUGGGUUUAGUUUUAGGUAAAGAUCGAGUUAAACUGAACCGUGAACAUCCUAAAAUGUAACAACCAUUUUGUAUUUAUUAAAAAAAGAAAGAAUUACAACUCAUGUAAAGAAGUGAUGAUGCCGUCAUUUAGUAGGUGCUUUGUACUUUCUCAUGUUUUUGUACAUUGGGUGAAAAGGAAUUUCUGUGUCUAAUGCAUUAUGUGCCCCUGCCCUUAUGUGUAAGUUUAUGGUAAACCAUUUUGAGGAUGAAGCAACAUAAGGAUAUGCAUGAUUGCCCAUGGUUUAUAUCCUUGUGGAUUGGUUGAUUCAGGUUGGUGUAACUUCAAAGAAGUGUUAUGUGCAGGGAAUAAAUCAUACUUACCAUCUUUAUGAAUUAUUGAAGGUAUGGAAGCUUAAAUUACUUAUCUGAGGAAAUGGAAAAAGUCCCUAGUUUAAAGUUCAGCAAAGCAGAUAACUUGAAUUUAUUCUGUCAAAUCUAUGCUGGAGAAUAUAAAAAAAACCUGCCUAUUAUCAUUGUAUUAGCUAAGAUAGAUCUGUUCCAUCUUUACGGAAACAUCUCACGUAUCAUAAAGACAAGUUAAAAGAAAUAUCAACACAUUACAAUUUCAAGUUGCAAUUUAGUUAUAUAGAUACUCUUAAAAGUUGGGAGGACGCAGGAUACAUGCAAAGGACAGGGACUAGAACCUGCUUGUGUUCGGUGGACAAUUUGGAAAGAGAGAAACUCCAGAUGUUUUGAGAAUGUGGAGAAUGAAGUGCAGAAGAUUAAGUUAAACUUUAUUUUGCUGUUAAGCUUUUAAUCAGAUGUACACAAAUGAUAAUAAUACCAUUAUUGAUGUUUUAGACUCAAUAUAGAGAGUGUUAGUGAUAGAUAGAGUCUCUUGUAUAUAUGGUUUUAGUACUUCCUAAGUACUGUUUUUGCUACAUAUGAAAUAUAGAAAAGUUACCAGUUUCAAAAAAAAAAAGAAGUUGCAAUUUAGUUCCACCUCUACGUACAUAUAUUUGUUAAAACUCCACACAAGUGAUUAAUCACAUUGAGUCUCAAUAGAACUUACUAAGUACUAAUCUGUAAGAUUUCUAGGGAAUGGAACUUAGUUGAUUGCUUGUCAUUUCUCUGCUUAUCAAAUAUAAGGUGCAGGGCAUGGACUGUUGCUCCACUAGCAAUCAUGUGGGUUAUUUGGAGAGAAAGAAACAUAAGAGCUUUUGAAGGGAUAGAGAUGAAUUUUAUUCAGUUAAGAAGUAGCCUCUUUUCCCUUGUUUUCUUUUGGUGCAGCCAUGAAGCUCCUUGCUGUAUAGAAGAUUGGGUGUCUAUCG
Molecule: long non-coding RNA, 1766 nt
Filed under: Nicotiana benthamiana
Lineage: Eukaryota; Viridiplantae; Streptophyta; Magnoliopsida; Solanales; Solanaceae
Description: long non-coding RNA (NBEN_LNC007618)
Source: RNAcentral